GAGGGCCCAGGCCAUUCAGGCCACUCUGUUUGCCAAAUAAAAUAUUAGGCAUUCCUCCCAGAUCAUGCUGGCUGCUGGCUAGAGAAGGACUGGAGGAGGCAAGAAUGGAGAGCCUGUUUUGGAUGGCUAGUGUGGUCCUCCAGGCAGGAGCGGGUGGCAGCUGGAGGAGAGCGGAGGCCGGGCCUGGAGAGAAGAGUGGAUGUGAGGUAAGCGUGGGAGGCUAAGCAGAGCACUGGCUCUGAGAUUUGUAACAAAGGCCCAGUGGGUCUCCUGGAUCCCUUAGAGCUGGUCAGCCAGGCGCAUGUCCUGAGCACUGGGGACUGUCUCACUGGCUGGAUGACCUAGAUAACCUUGGCAAUUCUCUGAUGGCUGGAUGGUUCCAAGGUCCCUCCUGAUGGUCAUCAAGCCCUCCCUGCCUCCUCCCACGUCCCGCGGGUCUCUGAUCCUGGUUGCAGGGUUUCCUUCCUUGGGGGUCGCUGAAGCACUUCCAGGCUGCCCCACAUCUUGGUCCUGCAACAUUCCUUUACUGUGGAUGGCUUAUUCCCCAACUACCUCGCUGGACAAGGAACUCUAAGCUGGGGUCAAUGUUGUGUCCUGCCCCCCAGGCCCAUCCCAAGCCUUGGCUUUCAAUUGGGCAGGUCCUGACCACACAGCUGGUGCCCACUCCCCUCAGCGUAGGUGCCAGCACAGGCCAACUCCACACCCACGUGCACACGUUCCCAGGGGUCCUGGCUUCGGAGCACCUGUGAUGCUGGGAGAACACCAGGACCCAAAGUCCAAGUUCUCUGUGCUUGACUGCACUCCCCUCCUGGAGAAGUCUCAGCAUCUGCUCACACAUCCCCCCACGAGCAGAGGCACAGGGAAGGUCACGAGCCAGCCGAGGCUGGAGGCAGACCCUGAGAGCUCAUCCUCUGGUCUAAGUCCUGUUUCCUUGAUCUGCAGGUUCCGUAGCCAUGGGGCAGACCUGGCACUGAGAGCAAUAGUGUUCCUUGGUGACGGCUGGGAGUGGCAAAAGAACCUCCCAGGGCAGCAUUGUCCUUCUGCACCAACCAACGUCUGGCCCCAACACACGACAGUACCCACCCGGGCUCCCCUGCCACCCAGCGAGCAGCCAGGCAGUUCCACCUCCCUGAUCCGUGGAGCCCAUGGUGGGAACUGCACCUCAGGCUUCCUUCAUGUCAAAAUGACUGGCAUCUUUGUUUCACACACUGUGCACUGCUGUGGCUUGGUUCUCUACGGCCCUCUGUCCUGGCGGCAUAGCUUCAAGAGCGUCAGGCUCCCUCGUAUAACUGUGAGCUGGGUCUGCAUGGUUUCUCAGCUGCCACGAACACCUGCCCCUUGAACAAUGAAUGCGAAUGGGGCGGGGCAAGUUUCCAUCACCUUGGUGAGUUCUCCUCCUGUAGGCUCUGUGUGCACACGCACGGGUGCGCACGGCCUUAACCACGGAAUGAGCAGAAAGCACAAGUCCCCAAAACACAGCUGCCAGAGACACCCAAGUGUCUGCAAACCAGUGGCUUGUCAAAGACUUUCUCUUCUCUCCCCCAAGCGCAGCAUGUCAGAUUACUCUCACAGCUCGGGAAGCUUCGAGGAAGAG
Long non-coding RNA from Equus asinus (donkey), 1594 nucleotides. NCBI's taxonomy places the organism in Eukaryota, Metazoa, Chordata, Mammalia, Perissodactyla, Equidae. The record is from Ensembl.